GAUAGGUGCUCGAUCCGCUAUGACUUCAGAAGAGAACUUGUUGAGGAAGAAGGAAUCUGCAAAGAAAGCUGGAGUACAUUGAUAGGCUUGAGUGUUGCAUAUCUGGACGCCUUUGGCUCUGUGGAACACUUCGUCAGGUACAGAUGCUGCUCCGCGCAUAGCGCUUACUUUUCGAGUUGAAAGUGUCCUCCAUCUAACCACCGCGACACUCUGAGUCAGAAGAGAACCACUAUGUUGGCACGUCUCACACUUAAUUAGGCCACUAGAUCCACAGGUUGCACAAGGAAGUUUUCCCUUGCCAUCACAUUUUGC
This 312-nucleotide unclassified non-coding RNA is filed under the name Hevea brasiliensis (rubber tree). The record is from RNAcentral. Lineage: Eukaryota; Viridiplantae; Streptophyta; Magnoliopsida; Malpighiales; Euphorbiaceae.